CCCUUAGAGUUUGAUCCUGGCUCAGGAUGAACGCUAGCGGCAGGCUUAAUACAUGCAAGUCGAGGGGCAGCAGGACUGUAGCAAUACAGUUGCUGGCGACCGGCAAACGGGUGCGGAACACGUACGCAACCUUCCUUUAAGUGAGGAAUAGCCCAGGGAAACUUGGAUUAAUACCUCGUAAUAUUUGAGAGUGGCAUCACUCUUCAAUUAUAGCUCAGGCGCUUAAAGAUGGGCGUGCGACUGAUUAGGUAGUUGGCGGGGUAACGGCCCACCAAGCCUGCGAUCAGUAACUGGCGUGAGAGCACGACCAGUCACACGGGCACUGAGACACGGGCCCGACUCCUACGGGAGGCAGCAGUAAGGAAUAUUGGUCAAUGGACGCAAGUCUGAACCAGCCAUGCCGCGUGGAGGAUGAAGGUCCUCUGGAUUGUAAACUUCUUUUAUUUGGGAAGAAACCCAUAUUUUCUAAUGUGGUUGACGGUACCAGAUGAAUAAGCACCGGCUAACUCCGUGCCAGCAGCCGCGGUAAUACGGAGGGUGCAAGCGUUAUCCGGAUUCACUGGGUUUAAAGGGUGCGUAGGCGGGUUGGUAAGUCCGUGGUGAAAUCUCCAAGCUUAACUUGGAAACUGCCGUGGAUACUAUCAAUCUUGAAUAUCGUGGAGGUAAGCGGAAUAUGUCAUGUAGCGGUGAAAUGCUUAGAUAUGACAUAGAACACCAAUUGCGUAGGCAGCUUACUACACGAUCAUUGACGCUGAGCACGAAAGCGUGGGGAGCAA
Molecule: ribosomal RNA, 776 nt
Filed under: uncultured bacterium
Lineage: Bacteria
Description: bacterial SSU rRNA
Rfam family: Bacterial small subunit ribosomal RNA
Source: RNAcentral